GGACCCGCACAAGUAGUGGAGCAUGUGGUUUAAUUCGAAGAUACGCGCAGAACCUUACCAACACUUGACAUGUUCGUCGCGACUUUAAGAGAUUAAAGUUUUCGGUUCGGCCGGACGAAACACAGGUGCUGCAUGGCUGUCGUCAGCUCGUGUCGUGAGAUGUUGGGUUAAGUCCCGCAACGAGCGCAACCCUCACUUUUAGUUGCCAUCAUUUAGUUGGGCACUCUGAAAAGAACUGCCAGUGAUAAGCUGGAGGAAGGUGGGGAUGACGUCAAGUCCUCAUGGCCCCUUACGUGUUGGGCUACACACGUGCUACAAUGGUAUUUAACAACAGGAAGCAAGACGGCGACGUU
Molecule: ribosomal RNA, 353 nt
Filed under: uncultured bacterium
Lineage: Bacteria
Description: bacterial SSU rRNA
Rfam family: Bacterial small subunit ribosomal RNA
Source: RNAcentral